RNAcentral lists this non-coding RNA (31 nucleotides) under Rattus norvegicus (Norway rat). Lineage: Eukaryota; Metazoa; Chordata; Mammalia; Rodentia; Muridae. The record is from RNAcentral.
UGGACAAUACAUUUCUGUUGAUAAUAUCAGA